CCUACGGGGGGCAGCAGUGGGGAAUAUUGGACAAUGGGCGAAAGCCUGAUCCAGCCAUGCCGCGUGUGUGAAGAAGGCCUUCGGGUUGUAAAGCACUUUCAGUGGGGAAGAAAGCCUUGGGGCUAAUACCCUCGAGGAAGGACAUCACCCACAGAAGAAGCACCGGCUAACUCCGUGCCAGCAGCCGCGGUAAUACGGAGGGUGCGAGCGUUAAUCGGAAUUACUGGGCGUAAAGCGCGCGUAGGCGGUCUGAUAAGCCGGUUGUGAAAGCCCCGGGCUCAACCUGGGAACGGCAUCCGGAACUGUCAGGCUAGAGUGCAGGAGAGGGAGGUAGAGUUCCCGGUGUAGCGGUGAAAUGCGUAGAGAUCGGGAGGAAUACCAGUGGCGAAGGCGGGCUUCUGGACUGACACUGACGCUGAGGUGCGAAAGCGUGGGUAGCAAACAGGAUUAGAUACCCCAGUAGUC
RNAcentral lists this ribosomal RNA (465 nucleotides) under Vreelandella stevensii. RNAcentral's name for it is "partial 16S ribosomal RNA". It matches the Rfam family "Bacterial small subunit ribosomal RNA", at positions 338 to 795 of the family's 1533-position model. The record is from RNAcentral. Lineage: Bacteria; Pseudomonadati; Pseudomonadota; Gammaproteobacteria; Oceanospirillales; Halomonadaceae.